Molecule: non-coding RNA, 103 nt
Organism: Gossypium hirsutum (cotton)
Lineage: Eukaryota; Viridiplantae; Streptophyta; Magnoliopsida; Malvales; Malvaceae
Source: Rfam
GAACCAUGAUGUGGGCAAGAACUUAACAAAUCUUUGAAACGUUCCCAACAAUGAAAAAAUGGUUCAUUUGAAUUUUGCAAGAAAUUUUGAAUCUGUUGUGUUG